Molecule: ribosomal RNA, 253 nt
Filed under: uncultured bacterium
Lineage: Bacteria
Description: partial 16S ribosomal RNA
Rfam family: Bacterial small subunit ribosomal RNA
Source: RNAcentral
UACGGGGGGGGCAAGCGUUGUUCGGAAUUACUGGGCGUAAAGCGUGCGCAGGCGGUGAUGUAAGACAGAUGUGAAAUCCCCGGGCUCAACCUGGGAACUGCAUUUGUGACUGCAUCGCUGGAGUGCGGCAGAGGGGGAUGGAAUUCCGCGUGUAGCAGUGAAAUGCGUAGAUAUGCGGAGGAACACCGAUGGCGAAGGCAAUCCCCUGGGCCUGCACUGACGCUGAGGAGCGAAAGCGUGGGGAGCGAACAGG